CUACGGGGCGCAGCAGUGGGGAAUAUUGCACAAUGGGCGCAAGCCCGACGCAGCCAUGCCGCGUGUAUGAAGAAGGCCUUCGGGUUGUAAAGUACUUUCAGCGGGGAGGAAGGGAGUAAAGUUAAUACCUUUGCUCAUUGACGUUACCCGCAGAAGAAGCACCGGCUAACUCCGUGCCAGCAGCCGCGGUAAUACGGAGGGUGCAAGCGUUAAUCGGAAUUACUGGGCGUAAAGCGCACGCAGGCGGUUUGUUAAGUCAGAUGUGAAAUCCCCGGGCUCAACCUGGGAACUGCACCUGAUACUGGCAAGCUUGAGUCUCGUAGAGGGGGGUAGAAUUCCAGGUGUAGCGGUGAAAUGCGUAGAGAUCUGGAGGAAUACCGGUGGCGAAGGCGGCCCCCUGGACGAAGACUGACGCUCAGGUGCGAAAGCGUGGGGAGCAAACAGGAUUAGAUACCCGCGUAGUC
RNAcentral lists this ribosomal RNA (464 nucleotides) under uncultured bacterium. RNAcentral describes it as "partial 16S ribosomal RNA". It matches the Rfam family "Bacterial small subunit ribosomal RNA", at positions 339 to 795 of the family's 1533-position model. The record is from RNAcentral.